This 466-nucleotide ribosomal RNA is filed under the name uncultured bacterium. RNAcentral's name for it is "partial 16S ribosomal RNA". It matches the Rfam family "Bacterial small subunit ribosomal RNA", at positions 28 to 507 of the family's 1533-position model. The record is from RNAcentral.
GACGAACGCUGGCGGUGUGCUUAACACAUGCAAGUCGAACGGUAAGGCCCUUUCGGGGGUCCACGAGUGGCGAACGGGUGAGUAACACGUGAGUAACCUGCCCUCAUCUCUGGGAUAACAGUCGGAAACGGUUGCUAAUACUGGAUAUGAGCUUGCAAGGCAUCUUGUGGGUUGGAAAGAUUUUUUUGGUUGGGGAUGGACUCGCGGCCUAUCAGCUUGUUGGUGAGGUAGUGGCUCACCAAGGCUUCGACGGGUAGCCGGCCUGAGAGGGCGACCGGCCACAUUGGGACUGAGAUACGGCCCAAACUCCUACGGGAGGCAGCAGUGGGGAAUAUUGCACAAUGGACGGAAGUCUGAUGCAGCAACGCCGCGUGCGGGAGGACGGCCUUCGGGUUGUAAACCGCUUUCAAUUGUGACGAAGCUUUUUGUGACGGUAGCAGUAGAAGAAGCACCGGCUAACUACGUG